CCCCCGAGCGGGGUACUCGGGGAGACGGAGGAGGGGGAAGCUGGGAGCCACAGUUAGUGCCGCGGCGGAUGCCCUGUGCGGUUGCACGGCUCGCCCGCCCCAAGAAAUGGCCCUGAAUGGCAGAGAUGAUGUUUCUUCUCCGCAAGCAGGGAGUGAACAUAAUAACGUACCUGGACGACCUGCUGAUAAAAGUGCCCUCCAGGGAGAGGUUUAUAUAUAGUGGCAAGUUCUGAAUUAGCUUAGUGAUAUCAUUCAGGUGCUUGAAAGGGAGGGGUAUUUCUAAGCAAGAAAAAAAAGGCAUUUUGUUUCCCCCAGCACCCUGAAUGAUAACAGUAACCAGAUUUAAAUCCCACAGAAUAUUAGAAUUCAGAGAUCUCGGUUACAUAUAUUUGCGCAAAUGUAUGAACAAGCCCCAAAGCCGCGUCAAGGCCUCUCUAUAUAUUUGGGGUCCUUAGCACUAUAUCUAGAUGCAGGGUGUGGCACCCCAAAAAAACCAGCAUAAGCCAGAAAGCCCAGGGUAGCAUACCGGUGAAAAAACUAUAGUGUUAAUAAAUUAGUAUUAGGAAGCUGAAGCUAUAAAGAAACUGAUACAAAAAUGAUAUGUAAUUAAAAUGGAGAAAUAGUGUUAAAGAAAUUAGUAAAUGAUAAGUGUUAAUAGAAUGUAAAGGUAUGCCACACUAAAGCUAUCCAGCUCAGCCAAUUCAGGGGCACCACACCCCACACCUCCAUUACCACAAUCUGGGUCAAUGAUUAACCAGCAAGGAGCCACAUGAUAAUGGCUCCUUACUUAAAUAUAUCUAAGCUAAGAGCUACCUACCUUGGAGCAACCCCAUAAUGCUCCAUAUGGCAUGUCAGGGCCUGCACCUCCUCCUAAUGCAGGAACCUCUCUGCCUCUCACAACAGACAUAUAUAGUGGCAGGUGCUCAAUUAGCUUAGUGAUAUGAUUCAGGUGAAAGGGAGGGGUAUUUCUAAGCAAGAAAAAAAAGGCAUUUUGUUUCCUCCAGCACUCUGAAUGAUAACAGUAACCAGAUUUAAAUCCCACACAAUAUUAGAAUUCAGAGAUCUCUAGGGAGAGGUUGUUGGACAGCAUUGCCCUCUCAACCCGACUACUUCAGGAUCACGGAUGGAUUCUGAACCUACCAAAAUCCCACCUGGAACCAACACGGAGGCUUCUGUUCCUGGGGAUGAUACUGGAUAUGGAGGAACAGAAGGUAUUCCUUCCAUUGGAAAAGGCAUUGGUAAUUCAGUCGAUGGUGCGGGAUGUUCUAAAACUAGCCCAGAUAUCUGUGCAUUUAUGCAUUCGCCUUCUGGGGAAGAUGGUCGCCUCUUACGAGGCUCUGUAGUACAGAAGGUUUCAUGCGAGGCCCUUCCAGCUGGUUCUGCUGGACAAAUGGUCCGGAUCGCAUCUUCACAUGCACCAGAGGAUACGUCGGUCACCAAAAGCCAGGAUUUCUCUUCUGUGGUUGCUUCAGACUUCUCACCUGACCGAGGGCCGAAGGUUCGGGAUUCAAAAUUGGAUUCUGCUAACCACAAAUUUUAGCCCGGAAAGGCAUUCUGGACAAGGUUAUUCCAAUCCUAAUCCAUGCCAGGAAAGGGGUAACGUCUAAACAUUACCACCGUAUUUGGAAAAAAUAUGUCUCAUGGUGUGAAAACAGGAAAUUUCCUGUAGUGGAAUUUCAGCUGGGACGUUUUCUCUUUUUUCUACAGUCGGGUGUGGAUGGCCUACGUUUGGGCUCCUUGAAGGUCCAGAUUUCAGCCUAAUCCAUUUUCUUCCAGAAACAAUUGGCUUUCCUCCCUGAGGUUCAGACGUUCUUGAAGGGGGUUCUGCACAUCCAACCGCCCUUUGUGCCUCCCACGGCACCUUGGGAUCUUUACGUGGUGUUGCAGUUCCUACAAUCAGAAUGGUUUGAGCCUUUACAGGAGGUUGACGUAAAGUUUCUUACAUGGAAGACCGUUACACUGUUGGCCUUAGCUUCUGCAAGGCAUGUGUCGGAACUGGGGGCGUUGUCUCACAAAAGCCCCUAUUUGAUUUUUCAUAAGAUAGAGCUGUACUCAAAACUCGUCAGCAAUUUCUUCCUAAGGUGGUGUCUGCGUUUCAUAUCAACCAACCUAUUGUGGUUCCGGUGCUUACUAACACCUCUGCUACCUCAAAGUCCUUGGAUAUUGUGAGAGCUUUGAAAAUCUAUGUGAAGCGGACAGCUCGUCACAGGAAAUCUGACUCGCUAUUUGUUCUCUAUGAUCCCAAGAAGAUUGGGUGUCCUACUUCAAAGCAGUCUAUUGUUCGCUGGAUCAGGCUUACUAUCCAGCAUCUUAUUCAUCGGCAGGAUUGCCGGUUCCUAAAGUACAGGCCCACUCUACUAGGUCGGUGGGUUCUUCCUGGUCGACUGCACGGGGUGUCUCUGCUUUACAGCUCUGCCGAGCAGCUACUUGGUCGGGUUCGAACACGUUUGCUGAGUUCUACAAGUCCAAUACUUUGGCCUCUGAGGACCUUCAGUUUGGUCAAACAGUUCUGCAGGAACCUCAGCACUCUCCCACCUGAUUUGGGAGCUUUGGUACAUCCCCAUGGUACUAAUAUGGACCCCAGUUUCCUCUAGGACGUAAGAGAAAAUAGGAUUUUAAUUACCUACCGGUAAAUCCUUUUCUCGUAGUCGUAGAGGAUACUGGGCGCCCGCCGAGUGCCUCUUUUUCCUGCACUGUUACUUUGUUAAGUAAUGUUGUUGGUUCAGCUCUUGCUGUUCCUGUUCCUGUUCAAGUUGGUUAGCAUGUCUUUCCUCUUGUUUGUGUGUGCUGGUUCGAAUCUCAUCACUGUUCUGUUACAACCUUCCUCAGGAUAUGUUCGUCUCCUCGGGCACAGUUUCUAGACUGAGUCUGGUGGGAGGGGCAUAGAGGGAGGAGCCAGUGCACACUAUUGAUUUCUUAAAGUGCCCAAGGCUCCUAGUGGACCCGUCUAUACCCCAUGGUAUUAAUGUGGACCCCAGUAUCCUCUACGGACUACGAGAAAAGGAUUUACCGGUAGGUAAUUAAAAUCCUAUUUUUUGUGAGAGCCAGCACGCCAGCUGUGUAACACAUUGUGAAUGAGGUUGGGAGUGUGUGUAGGAGAAUUUGUGAAAUGGGAGGCAGGCUGGGUGAUUACUGGAGAGUUACAACAGAGGAGCUCCCUGAACAUGAAGUGAAUUUAAGGGUACAUCCAGAUGUACCCUUGUAGGUGUUACCUACUCUUAUGGUGCAAGCACAUGUACAUUUCACAGAUCUGGUGCAGACAUGAUUACUGCUCAUUUUCUACAGCUGCAACUGCUGGUUUCAGGAUCCGGUCAAGAUGCUGGCUGCCGGGAACCCAGCAGUCGGAAUACGGACACUGGAAUCUAGGAAAGCUCAGGACACGGACGCUGAAAUCCCAACAGCUGGCAUCCGAACUAAUCAUAGCUAAUUUAAACCUUUGGCAGAUGUUAUCGUAAAUAGAUUAGCUUCUCCAUUCUGGAUUUUAAAGGGCACACUUCAGGGAUCCCCCUUGUCGAUACAACCCUGACAUAUCUGGACUCGUAGCUGGCACUCAAGAAUAUAAGUUGGCAUCAUACGCGGGAGACAAUCACCAAACCUCUUGCUCCCUGGCUAUAUCAACUGGAUCACUGAAAGCAGAUUCUGGACGUCCUACCACAGGGGAGGUGAAGGAGUUGUUGCAGUUGCCGUGGACAUUAUACUUAUAUGCACUCUUCUCAUCUAAUGCUGGUAAUUGUCCAUUUGGACUCCUUGUGUGGAUACUCCUAUUGCUGCUAGACAGACUGCACUUUGUGUCACUCUUACUACUGCCAUUAUACUUUUAACCGUGUGGGAAUUGAUGUUUUUAUAUGUGUUUAAUAAAUGUUUUUUAACCACUAAAA
Pseudophryne corroboree (corroboree frog) is the source of this 3878-nucleotide long non-coding RNA. RefSeq lists it as uncharacterized. The transcript is spliced from 2 exons. The record is from RefSeq and is a predicted model, not a curated record. Lineage: Eukaryota; Metazoa; Chordata; Amphibia; Anura; Myobatrachidae.